GGACCCGUGGCGCAACGGUAGCGCAUCUGAUUCCAGUAAAUGGAAUGACACGAGUCUCCAGAAGGUUAUCCGUUCAAGUCGGGUCGGGUUCA
This 92-nucleotide transfer RNA is filed under the name Trichodelitschia bisporula. Its description in RNAcentral is "tRNA-Trp". It matches the Rfam family "tRNA". From Rfam's summary of the family: Transfer RNA (tRNA) molecules are approximately 80 nucleotides in length. Their secondary structure includes four short double-helical elements and three loops (D, anti-codon, and T loops). Lineage: Eukaryota; Fungi; Ascomycota; Dothideomycetes; Phaeotrichales; Phaeotrichaceae. The record is from RNAcentral.